GAGAGACCGGUUCCCGAGAGCUGCAUUCUCGGGACUUAGCCAAAUUUGGCUAAAUCUCGCCAGGCCAACGUUCGGGAACCGGUCCCUGCCCACCAGGGACCGGUCUCAUCAGAGACCUCCGCAACCCAGCCUGAUGGAACCGGUCCCUCCCUGCCAGGGACCGGUCCCCGAGAGCAUUUCUGCUCCAGUGCAAGUUUUGCACUGGGUGCUCUCGCGGGCCCUUCCUUAAUGCACUUUAUGCACUAUAAACGCCUUCGGACUUUCCGAAGCCUAUGCACUCGACAACUAGUCGAUUCUGG
This 299-nucleotide long non-coding RNA is filed under the name Ananas comosus (pineapple). RNAcentral describes it as "long non-coding RNA (ACOM_LNC030237)". The record is from RNAcentral. Lineage: Eukaryota; Viridiplantae; Streptophyta; Magnoliopsida; Poales; Bromeliaceae.